This 1190-nucleotide unclassified non-coding RNA is filed under the name Hevea brasiliensis (rubber tree). The record is from RNAcentral. Lineage: Eukaryota; Viridiplantae; Streptophyta; Magnoliopsida; Malpighiales; Euphorbiaceae.
UUCACUGUUCACACUCACUCCCCAUUCGGCUCUCUGGGUCUUGGACGGACAGACAGACAGACCGACACAUCUCUUUUCCACUCUGCCACCAGUCCAUCGCCGAUUUCUACAGUCAGAGUGAGAGAGAGAGAGAGAGAGAGAGAGAGAGAGAUGGGUCCACCAAACAAGAAUGCCCUUGCGAUCUCCCAGGAUGCGUUCGACGAGCUGGUGAAAGAGAACAUGGAAGACCUCGGCAUGGACCCGGUUGAAGCCCUCCAAGACGCCAUCCAGACCCUUACUCUCCAAGGCGUUGAUCUCUCUGGUAUAGUGACGUGCGUUCCUGGAGAGAGUAGUGCAAAAGACAACCCAGUGAUUCAUUGUUUGGAAAGAUUGAACGAGCUGGAAUCUAUUCCAAAGGAUCGAAUUAGUGUGGAUGAGAUGGAUGAGAUGGCUGGCUUGUUUGAUAAGCUAACAGAACUGUGUAGUGUUGAAGGGUCUGGAAAUGCAGCAAUAGCUGUAAAAAAUGGUGGGGUGGAAUUGGUUUGCUCUAUUUGUUCUAAGAUACCGAUUGGAUCCAAGAUUGGAUCCAAGCAGGUUCUUGUUUCGGCUUUGAAGACAUUGGCAUUGUUUCUUUACGAUGUCCAAAGUACAGAAACAUUUAGGUCCAGUGAUGGACCAACAAUCUUGGCCGGUAUCUUAAAAGGUGAAAGUGAAAGUUUAGACAUAUUGGAUUGUGGUUUUAAUGUUGUUGCUGCAGCUGCAACUGGCAAUGAGAUUCUAAAAGAGUCAUUCAUGGAAUUGAAAAUUGAUGAACUUAUUUUGCAAGUACUGAAUAGACAGAACACAGGGAAUGUUCAAAGUUUAUAUGAUGCCAUUCGUGUUCUGUUAACACCGGAUGAUAACCGUGUUGUGGCUUCCCAAGUUUAUGGUUAUGCACGAAGGUUUGUGAAGAUUGGGAUUGCUGGAGCUCUUGUGGACUCAUUAUGUGGAGGGCUUGCUUCACCUAGUCUAGUUUCAGCAAGCAUUGCUUUAAAGGCUGUUGCUGUCAAUGAUGAAAUAUGUAAAUCCAUUGCUGAAAGAGGAGGUGUUGACACAAUUCUCAAAUGUAUUGAUGACAGCAGUGAACAAGGCAACAAAACAGUAGCUAGAACUUGUUGUUCGUUGUUAUCCAAGUUGGCAGCAAGUGACUCAAAUAAGAGUGCUAUCAUAGA